This 486-nucleotide ribosomal RNA is filed under the name uncultured bacterium. Its description in RNAcentral is "bacterial SSU rRNA". It matches the Rfam family "Bacterial small subunit ribosomal RNA", at positions 28 to 507 of the family's 1533-position model. The record is from RNAcentral.
GAUGAACGCUAGCGGCAGGCUUAACACAUGCAAGUCGAGGGGCAGCGCGGGUAGCAAUACCUGGCGGCGACCGGCAAACGGGUGCGGAACACGUACAGAACCUACCUUUUGUCUGGGGGCAUAGCCCGGAGAAAUCCGGAUUAACUCCCCAUAAUAUAUUUGAGUGGCAUCACUUGGAUNUUAAAAAUUUAUUGGACAGAGGUGGCUGUGCGUCCCAUUAGCUAGUUGGUAGGGUAACGGCCUACCAAGGCAACGAUGGGUAGCUGGUGUGAGAGCACGACCAGCCACACGGGCACUGAGACACGGGCCCGACUCCUACGGGAGGCAGCAGUGAGGAAUAUUGGUCAAUGGACGCAAGUCUGAACCAGCCAUGCCGCGUGAAGGAUGAAGGCCUUCUGGGUUGUAAACUUCUUUUACCUGGGAAGAAAACUACGAUUUCUAUCGUAGCCGACGGUACCAGAGGAAUAAGCACCGGCUAACUCCGUG